Molecule: transfer RNA, 88 nt
Filed under: Persephonella sp.
Lineage: Bacteria; Pseudomonadati; Aquificota; Aquificia; Aquificales; Hydrogenothermaceae
Description: tRNA-Ser
Rfam family: tRNA
About the family: Transfer RNA (tRNA) molecules are approximately 80 nucleotides in length.
Source: RNAcentral
GGAGGGGUGGCCGAGCGGACGAAGGCAGGUGAUUUGAAAUCACCCGAGGGUUAACAGCCCUCCGGGGGUUCGAAUCCCUCCCCCUCCG